GCUCCCGGAUGUUAGCGGCGGACGGGUGAGUAACACGUGGGUAACCUGCCUGUAAGACUGGGAUAACUCCGGGAAACCGGAGCUAAUACCGGAUAGUUCCUUGAACCGCAUGGUUCAAGGAUGAAAGACGGUUUCGGCUGUCACUUACAGAUGGACCCGCGGCGCAUUAGCUAGUUGGUGGGGUAAUGGCUCACCAAGGCGACGAUGCGUAGCCGACCUGAGAGGGUGAUCGGCCACACUGGGACUGAGACACGGCCCAGACUCCUACGGGAGGCAGCAGUAGGGAAUCUUCCGCAAUGGACGAAAGUCUGACGGAGCAACGCCGCGUGAGUGAUGAAGGUUUUCGGAUCGUAAAGCUCUGUUGUUAGGGAAGAACAAGUGCGAGAGUAACUGCUCGCACCUUGACGGUACCUAACCAGAAAGCCACGGCUAACUACGUGCCAGCAGCCGCGGUAAUACGUAGGUGGCAAGCGUUGUCCGGAAUUAUUGGGCGUAAAGGGCUCGCAGGCGGUUUCUUAAGUCUGAUGUGAAAGCCCCCGGCUCAACCGGGGAGGGUCAUUGGAAACUGGGAAACUUGAGUGCAGAAGAGGAGAGUGGAAUUCCACGUGUAACGGUUAAAUGCGUAAGAUUGGAGAACACCAGUGG
RNAcentral lists this ribosomal RNA (645 nucleotides) under Bacillus pumilus. RNAcentral describes it as "bacterial SSU rRNA". It matches the Rfam family "Bacterial small subunit ribosomal RNA", at positions 81 to 715 of the family's 1533-position model. The record is from RNAcentral. Lineage: Bacteria; Bacillati; Bacillota; Bacilli; Caryophanales; Bacillaceae.